RNAcentral lists this ribosomal RNA (519 nucleotides) under uncultured bacterium. RNAcentral's name for it is "partial 16S ribosomal RNA". It matches the Rfam family "Bacterial small subunit ribosomal RNA", at positions 29 to 523 of the family's 1533-position model. The record is from RNAcentral.
AACGAACGCUGGCGGCGUGCCUAACACAUGCAAGUCGAGCGCGAAAGUUCCUUCGGGAGCGUGUAGAGCGGCGGACGGGUGAGUAAUACAUAGGUAAUCUACCCUCGAGCUUGGGAUAACCCCGCGAAAGUGGGGCUAAUACCGGCUAAGACCACGUAAUUAUUUUACGGGGUAAAAGGUGGCUUAUUUUUUAAAUGAGCUAUCAAUUGAUGAUGAGCCUGUGGCAUAUCAGCUAGUUGGCGGGGUAAGAGCCCACCAAGGCUAUGACGGGUAGCUGGUCUGAGAGGACGACCAGCCACACUGGGACUGAGACACGGCCCAGACUCCUACGGGAGGCAGCAGUGGGGAAUAUUGGGCAAUGGGCGAAAGCCUGACCCAGCGACGCCGCGUGGGCGAUGAAGGCCUUCGGGUUGUAAAGCCCUGUCAUGCGGAAAGAACGACCCUGAGACGCAUACUCUCAGGGAGUGGCGGUACCGCGGGAGGAAGCACCGGCUAACUCCGUGCCAGCCGCCGCGGUAA